GAUUCCCUAGUUACUAUCUCUAAGCACUGAAGUCGGUGUUUGGAGAAAAGGACUCAGGCUUAUCAAAGUUUUGGCUUUGUUGCAAGAGCAGGUCAAGAUUUAGCUGUUCUUCAGUGAACAAGUGUGCAGAUUGUCAAAUAUGUCAGUUCAUCAAAUAAGAAAACAUGCAGUUCUCCCACCUAUCAUUUGUAGAAGUGACAAGGAAUUUUUGGAAAGUGUGCAAAGAUACAUAAUUACAGAAACUGAAAGACUGGGCUGUAGUGAGGAAGGACCUGCUGAUGAAUAUUACAUCAUAUACCGAAAUGUUUUUGAUAAGGCACCCACCGUUUCUGUUUUCUUCUGUUAUCCUUCCAGAGAUUUUCUAUGCCUAAACACCAUUUGAAGCCAUGAAUGUAUAGUGAUGAGGGGUUUUUUACAGUUGCACAUGACUGGGAAUAGAAAUGCAAUUAGAUAUUGAGAAUAUUGAUGAGCCAAUAGGAGCUGAUGGGUUAGAAAAAUAAGGAGGUGAAGAGAAUCCAGGAUUUUAAGGUUUAAGUGAAGUUAGAGACUAGAUUUGGAGCGAGUAAGAGAAG
This 572-nucleotide long non-coding RNA is filed under the name Homo sapiens (human). RNAcentral describes it as "non-protein coding lnc-MTIF2-3:3". The record is from RNAcentral. Lineage: Eukaryota; Metazoa; Chordata; Mammalia; Primates; Hominidae.